GAACAUGCUACCUCAAAAGCAAUUUAGUGCUUGAUGCUGUUAACACUGAAUAGCUGCGAGAGCCCAUGUGGCAGAAGAGGAAAACUGCUUGGGGUCAGUGUGGGACCUGGUCAAGGCCAGCCUUCCUUGGGGUGCUGCUUCCUGGGACAGGCAUUGUGUCCACGAAGGGAGCAUCUCAGAUGCAGACUCAAGAUUCAGACACACUCUCCUGGUCUCACAAUCCUGUGUUUGGGUCUUGAUGUGGUGCUACCAGGAUCUCAGGUGGGACCAAGCACUUCUGAAGCCUCCUCUCCCACUGAGACCCUUAUGGGGUAGAUUGACAUUUGAUGGAGCUGGUGCAAAACUAACCAGCUAGUGAAGGCUAAGCAUGAUGCCCAGCCUGUGGCAUGGUAGCCCUGGCCUGACACCUCCUGCAAGGCUUGGUGACUUCUUGUUGGCUUGCAGAUUUCCAGAUUCCUCUGCAUACACUGUCAGAGUGCUGCUAUUUACAAGUUCUCCCCCCAGGGCAAACAGUCCCAGGCUGUGUCACUGCCGGACUCUGCUGGCGGAGCCAAAGAAGGGAAAGGCAGUGUCAUUGCGCAUGGAUGCAAAGGACUGCUUUCUUGUCUGGCAAAAGAGGAACCCUGAUGACUUUGAGUCACUUAAAGUAUUUAAUUAAAUCUAUAAUAAAUACUUUGCAAUGC
Pezoporus occidentalis (night parrot) is the source of this 683-nucleotide long non-coding RNA. RefSeq lists it as uncharacterized. The transcript is spliced from 2 exons. The record is from RefSeq and is a predicted model, not a curated record. Lineage: Eukaryota; Metazoa; Chordata; Aves; Psittaciformes; Psittacidae.